AUCCAGGUUUUCUAUUUCUUCUUCUGGUAAACUGUGCUACUAGGAAUUUGUCUCCUUUUUUCUUCUUCAUUUUUUUUUUUUUUUUUUUUUUUUUUUUUUGGUGUGUGUGUGUGUGUGUGUGUGUGUGUGUGUGUGUGUGUGUGUGCGCCAGGUAUCGAACUUGGGAUCUUGCACUUGUGAGACAGGUGGCAGAACCAC
This 198-nucleotide long non-coding RNA is filed under the name Fukomys damarensis (Damara mole-rat). RNAcentral's name for it is "lncRNA (ENSFDAG00000030047.1)". Lineage: Eukaryota; Metazoa; Chordata; Mammalia; Rodentia; Bathyergidae. The record is from RNAcentral.